ACGGCUACCUUGUUACGACUUAGCCCCAGUCACCAGUUUUACCUUAGGGCGCUCCUUGCGGUUGCACACUUCAGGCACUCCCGGCUUCCAUGGCUUGACGGGCGGUGUGUACAAGGCCCGGGAACGUAUUCACCGCGCCAUGGCUGAUGCGCGAUUACUAGCGAAUCCAGCUUCAUGGAGUCGAGUUGCAGACUCCAAUCCGAACUGAGACAGGCUUUCAAGUUCCGCUUUGCGUCGCCGCAUUGCUUCUCUCUGUACCUGCCAUUGUAACACGUGUGUCGCCCCGGACGUAAGGGCCGUGCUGAUUUGACGUCAUCCCCGCCUUCCUCACAGCUUGCGCCGGCAGUCUCGCCAGAGUCCCCAACUUGACUUGCUGGUAACUGGCGAUGGGGGUUGCGCUCGUUAUGGCACUUAAGCCGACACCUCACGGCACGAGCUGACGACAACCAUGCAGCACCUCGACACAGGCUCCGAAGAGCUACCUCCUUUCAAAAGUAUUCCUGUGUCGUUUGAGCCCGGGUAAGGUUCCUCGCGUAUCAUCGAAUUAAACCACAUGUUCCUCCGCUUGUGCGGGCCCCCGUCAAUUCCUUUGAGUUUCACCGUUGCCGGCGUACUCCCC
RNAcentral lists this ribosomal RNA (619 nucleotides) under uncultured bacterium. RNAcentral's name for it is "partial 16S ribosomal RNA". The record is from RNAcentral.